GCGGACGUAGCCAAGUGGAUCAA
Molecule: transfer RNA, 23 nt
Filed under: Araucaria bernieri
Lineage: Eukaryota; Viridiplantae; Streptophyta; Pinopsida; Araucariales; Araucariaceae
Description: partial tRNA-His
Source: RNAcentral